CGCCGACCAUGCGAUCGGCAAGUCCUAGGCGCUGAGGUUUUACCCACAGUGCCACCCGCGUCCCCUUUAAAGUGCUAAAUCAGAGCAAAUGUGUAUCUGGAGAAAACUCGAGUGAUGUUUGCUGUCAUUCAGUGGUAAAGCAAAAGUUUUCCCAAGGCCAAUAGCAGCAGGGAAAGCACAAGUCUGGCUGAGCCCUCAUAUUAAAAUCUUCUAGUCCACAAGCCUUUCCUACAGGCCUUUCUGUCUCUGCCUCUUUUUCUCUCUCUGGCCUUGUUCAAAUGGAAUAGGAAACCAUCGUUUCUCACUCCACAGGGAGUCUCAGGCUCUUGGCCCUCAUCUCUUCUCCCCUCCUGCAGCCAGGAGAGGAGAUCCAUAGUUCCAAUAUAGGCUUUGUUAAAUCAUUAUGUUUUAACAGAUGUACAAAACAGGUACAAAAAUUAAUAGCGUGAAGUGCAGUUCCAGCACCUCUCAGCAUUUUUUACUGAUCGCUGCUCGGAGUAAACAAGACGGGGCCAAUGUAGCAUGUGAUCAGGAACCAAAGGACUGCUGCUUGUGGCAAGGAGGUGAACGGGGGGGGGGGUAAGUGGAGAGCCUUCAGUCCUCUCACCACCAUCUACAGCUACCCCCUUUGUCCUGCUAACUAGCACCUCGUGAGCCUCUUACCAUUUGGCAAAUCAGCCCCAGCAGCUGAGAGCAGCAGCAGUAGUGUUAUCUCGGCACCUGCAGCCAAUCUUCAUCUGGCGGCAGCACCAGCUACAAAGCAUAGACAGAGCCACUGCUACAAUUGUUUUAACUAUUUCUUCAGAUGAAGAGCUGCUUGUAAAAUUCUGAAGGCUGAAAAACAACACUGAGGACCACUUGAACGAACUGUGAAUUAUACUGAAACAGAAUUGGUUACUUUCUCAUACAGUCAUAGAAUUGUAGAGUUGGAAGGGACCGAAAGAGGCAUCUAGUCCAACCCUCUCCAAUGCAGGACUCAUUUGGAAGGGGUGAACUAGAGUUGGAACAAAUUCUUUUUUGGAAGUGGAGACCUGGAACUGGAACUAAUUCCUUUUAAAAAUGAACUUUCCAAGCACUGUUCCUGAUAAAACUGUAUAUUCUUUAUGCAUUUAAGCCACCUUGAGAAGGCUGUAUUCAUGAAA
Molecule: non-coding RNA, 1142 nt
Organism: Podarcis muralis (Common wall lizard)
Lineage: Eukaryota; Metazoa; Chordata; Lepidosauria; Squamata; Lacertidae
Source: RefSeq, a predicted model, not a curated record